UGGCAUUUGAACAUGUAAAGUGACACUAGAGUUAGUGUGAGGCAAGGAACUAAUGCGAGGUAAAGAAUGAUAUUAAUCAGUAAAGCUAAUGUAAAGUGGGCAUAAAGAACGUGUAAAGUUAAAGAAUGUGAAAGCUAAAGAUAGCCUAAUGUAAAGUAGCGAUAAGAAUGUGAUUGCUAGAGUUAGUAAAAGUAAAAGAAAUGCAAAGAGCAAUGAUUGCUAGAGUGGCAACAUAAAGUGAUGUAAUGAACACUAGAGUUAGUGUAAAGUCAAGAUUGA
RNAcentral lists this long non-coding RNA (279 nucleotides) under Ananas comosus (pineapple). Its description in RNAcentral is "long non-coding RNA (ACOM_LNC044236)". Lineage: Eukaryota; Viridiplantae; Streptophyta; Magnoliopsida; Poales; Bromeliaceae. The record is from RNAcentral.